UGCGUUUGGAAAGAUUUUUCGGUUGGGGAUGGGCUCGCGGCCUAUCAGCUUGUUGGUGAGGUAAUGGCUCACCAAGGCGUCGACGGGUAGCCGGCCUGAGAGGGUGACCGGCCACACUGGGACUGAGACACGGCCCAGACUCCUACGGGAGGCAGCAGUGGGGAAUAUUGCACAAUGGGCGAAAGCCUGAUGCAGCAACGCCGCGUGAGGGAUGACGGCCUUCGGGUUGUAAACCUCUUUUAGCAGGGAAGAAGCGAAAGUGACGGUACCUGCAGAAAAAGCGCCGGCUAACUACGUGCCAGCAGCCGCGGUAAUACGUAGGGCGCAAGCGUUAUCCGGAAUUAUUGGGCGUAAAGAGCUCGUAGGCGGUUUGUCGCGUCUGCUGUGAAAUCCCGAGGCUCAACCUCGGGCCUGCAGUGGGUACGGGCAGACUAGAGUGCGGUAGGGGAGAUUGGAAUUCCUGGUGUAGCGGUGGAAUGCGCAGAUAUCAGGAGGAACACCGAUGGCGAAGGCAGAUCUCUGGGCCGUAACUGACGCUGAGGAGCGAAAGGGUGGGGAGCAAACAGGCUUAGAUACCCUGGUAGUCCACCCCGUAAACGUUGGGAACUAGUUGUGGGGUCCAUUCCACGGAUUCCGUGACGCAGCUAACGCAUUAAGUUCCCCGCCUGGGGAGUACGGCCGCAAGGCUAAAACUCAAAGGAAUUGACGGGGACCCGCACAAGCGGCGGAGCAUGCGGAUUAAUUCGAUGCAACGCGAAGAACCUUACCAAGGCUUGACAUAUACGAGAACGGGCCAGAAAUGGUCAACUCUUUGGACACUCGUAAACAGGUGGUGCAUGGUUGUCGUCAGCUCGUGUCGUGAGAUGUUGGGUUAAGUCCCGCAACGAGCGCAACCCUCGUUCUAUGUUGCCAGCACGUAAUGGUGGGAACUCAUGGGAUACUGCCGGGGUCAACUCGGAGGAAGGUGGGGAUGACGUCAAAUCAUCAUGCCCCUUAUGUCUUGGGCUUCACGCAUGCUACAAUGGCCGGUACAAAGGGCUGCAAUACCGUGAGGUGGAGCGAAUCCCAAAAAGCCGGUCCCAGUUCGGAUUGAGGUC
This 1097-nucleotide ribosomal RNA is filed under the name Microbacterium paraoxydans. RNAcentral describes it as "bacterial SSU rRNA". It matches the Rfam family "Bacterial small subunit ribosomal RNA", at positions 194 to 1305 of the family's 1533-position model. Lineage: Bacteria; Bacillati; Actinomycetota; Actinomycetes; Micrococcales; Microbacteriaceae. The record is from RNAcentral.